Long non-coding RNA from Clarias gariepinus (North African catfish), 441 nucleotides. RefSeq lists it as uncharacterized. The record is from RefSeq and is a predicted model, not a curated record. The transcript is spliced from 3 exons. NCBI's taxonomy places the organism in Eukaryota, Metazoa, Chordata, Actinopteri, Siluriformes, Clariidae.
GGAAAGAUCUUCGCCUAUGAAGAUGAAGAAGAAGAACUCCACCUCGUAGCAAGAAAUGUAAACGAACUGUUUGAAACUGGCCUUACCUUUCCUGGAUUAGAAUGCUACAAGAUGGGGGAAUGUUUCGAGGACGAUACAGAAGAAGAAUACAAUGAAAUCAUGGAAUCUGAUGAAAUGAAAAAAGAGGAACAGGAGUACCUCGAUUUCUAUGAAUCGAUGUGGAGUAAAGUACGGGAACUGUGUGGGUACUCAAAGCACUGAAUUUAAGGUGAUGCUCAAUGCAAGGUGAGGAGAAAAGCAUGGUCCAGCUCAAGAUGAAUUCAGAAACAAAAAGUGCUGGGAGAUGUUCGCAAAGAUAUGGAAAUUGUUCCUGUAGAUAAGAACUCAGAAAUGGUUAAAUUAAUUAGUUACAGAAAUGUCAGAGACCACUUUUAUGAUUUC